Molecule: non-coding RNA, 755 nt
Filed under: Glyptocidaris crenularis
Lineage: Eukaryota; Metazoa; Echinodermata; Echinoidea; Phymosomatoida; Phymosomatidae
Description: 12S ribosomal RNA
Rfam family: Bacterial small subunit ribosomal RNA
Source: RNAcentral
CACAAGUUUUGUUCAUGACGCUAAGCAAUACGCCACGACUGCAGUGCUAAACAUUAGACAAUCGGAGGCCCCCGGAUCUAGUGAAGAAAACAAUAAGGUGGUAAAGUACGUGCCAGCCACCGCGGUUAUACGUACCUACCUAUAGUUAAAUUAUACGGUUAAAAGUGUGGUUAGAAAAAUUUAUUUGAUUACAGCCCUAAGUUAGUCGUAGAAAGCUUACCUUAAAAAGAAUUGACAACCAAUCAAAUUAAAAAUUUGACCCACGAAAGCUAUGACCUAAACCAGGAUUAGAUACCCUGCUAUACAUAGCCGUUAACAACCUAAGCACCAGAGAACUACGAACCUAGGUUUAAAACUCAAAGGACUUGGCGGUACUCCAAACCUCCCUGGAGGAGCUUGCCAUUAAACCGAUAAUCCACGUGAUACCUCACCAGCUUUUGCAAUCCAGCUUGUAUACCAUCGUCGUAAGCCUACUUCCUGAGAAAGUUGGCACCAAGGGAAGCCCCCAAGACGUCAGAUCAAGGUGCAGCUAAUAAGUUGGGAAUAGGUGAGCUACAAUGCCUUUAGAAGCCAGUGAAAAUGAGAAUGAAAUUUUUUAUAGAAAUUGGAUUCAGCAGUAAGGCCCACUAGAAAAUGGGCCUGAAGGAAGCUCUGGAGUGCGCACACAUCGCCCGUCACUCUCGCCUAGCCAAAAGUAGCAAGGGGAGAAAAGUCGUAACACAGUAGGCGCACCGGAAGGUGUGCCUGGAAAGUUG